UGGGGAAUAUGGACAAUGGGCGAAAGCCUGAUCCAGCAAUGCCGCGUGAGUGAUGAAGGCCUUAGGGUUGUAAAGCUCUUUUACCCGGGAUGAUAAUGACAGUACCGGGAGAAUAAGCCCCGGCUAACUCCGUG
This 134-nucleotide ribosomal RNA is filed under the name uncultured marine bacterium. Its description in RNAcentral is "partial 16S ribosomal RNA". It matches the Rfam family "Bacterial small subunit ribosomal RNA", at positions 355 to 507 of the family's 1533-position model. The record is from RNAcentral.